UCGAUUGUCCCAGCCGCCGCGGUAUACGGAGGGUGCAAGCGUUAAUCGGAAUUACUGGGCGUAAAGCGCACGCAGGCGGUCUGUCAAGUCGGAUGUGAAAUCCCCGGGCUCGACCUGGGAACUGCAUUCGAAACUGGCAGGCUAGAGUCUUGUAGAGGGGGGUAGAAUUCCAGGUGUAGCGGUGAAAUGCGUAGAGAUCUGGAGGAAUACCGGUGGCGAAGGCGGCCCCCUGGACAAAGACUGACGCUCAGGUGCGAAAGCGUGGGGAGCAAACAGGAUUAGAUACCCUGGUAGUCCACGCCGUAAACGAUGUCGAUUUGGAGGUUGUGCCCUUGAGGCGUGGCUUCCGGAGCUAACGCGUUAAAUCGACCGCCUGGGGAGUACGGCCGCAAGGUUAAAACUCAAAUGAAUUGACGGGGGCCCGCACAAGCGGUGGAGCAUGUGGUUUAAUUCGAUGCAACGCGAAGAACCUUACCUGGUCUUGACAUCCACAGAACUUUCCAGAGAUGGAUUGGUGCCUUCGGGAACUGUGAGACAGGUGCUGCAUGGCUGUCGUCAGCUCGUGUUGUGAAAUGUUGGGUUAAGUCCCGCAACGAGCGCAACCCUUAUCCUUUGUUGCCAGCGGUUAGGCCGGGAACUCAAAGGAGACUGCCAGUGAUAAACUGGAGGAAGGUGGGGAUGACGUCAAGUCAUCAUGGCCCUUACGACCAGGGCUACACACGUGCUACAAUGGCAUAUACAAAGAGAAGCGACCUCGCGAGAGCAAGCGGACCUCAUAAAGUAUGUCGUAGUCCGGAUUGGAGUCUGCAACUCGACUCCAUGAAGUCGGAAUCGCUAGUAAUCGUAGAUCAGAAUGCUACGGUGAAUACGUUCCCGGGCCUUGUACACACCGCCCGUCACACCAUGGGAGUGGGUUGCAAAAGAAGUAGGUAGCUUAACCUUCGGGAGGGCGCUUACCACUUUGUGAUUCAUGACUGGGGUGAAGUCGUAACAAGGUAACCA
This 1002-nucleotide ribosomal RNA is filed under the name uncultured Klebsiella sp. Its description in RNAcentral is "bacterial SSU rRNA". It matches the Rfam family "Bacterial small subunit ribosomal RNA", at positions 497 to 1502 of the family's 1533-position model. Lineage: Bacteria; Pseudomonadati; Pseudomonadota; Gammaproteobacteria; Enterobacterales; Enterobacteriaceae. The record is from RNAcentral.